Molecule: long non-coding RNA, 723 nt
Filed under: Durio zibethinus
Lineage: Eukaryota; Viridiplantae; Streptophyta; Magnoliopsida; Malvales; Malvaceae
Description: long non-coding RNA (DZIB_LNC000586)
Source: RNAcentral
AAUGAUUGCAUUUGAUCUCAAAUUCAACUGAAUUAAGCUAUAAAUUCGAGGUUCUUGAAUUUGAUUCCAAAAAUUAGGGAGUUCUAAAAAUCUUGGAAUUUAGUCCCAAUUUGGGGGUUCUUAAAUCUUGGUCCAAAUUUAGGGGUUUUUUUUUUUGUUUUUUAAUUUGAUUUCAGUUUAGGGAUUCUUACAUCUUUAGGUUUUGAUCUUUAGAUCUUUCUUCUUGGAUUUAUUUGUUAGAAUUCUAGGGACUUUAUUCUUCCAGUCUUUCAUCUUAAACAUAUGAGAGUUUUGAAGACUUUGAUUUUUCAGAUAUUUUCUUCCCUGUUUGUCUUCUUGAUCUUCAUAUCUUCAUUCUCCAAGAGUUGUGUUCUUGAUCUUCAAAUCUUCAUUUCCAAGAAUUGUCUUCUUGACCUUUAGAUCUCCAUUUCUCGCGAAUUCUUCAAGUUUUUUUUUUUUUUUUCUAAAAAAUUAUGUUCUUUAUCUUUAGAUCUUCAUUUCCAAAGAAUUGUUUCUUAAGCCUGGAUCCUUAUUCCUCAAGAAUUCUUCAAUAUCUUUUUCGAGGAAUUAUAUAUGUCAAAUAGCUCAAAAGAGCUUUCUAUUUAUAGUGCUAGUUGAUGCUAGAUGAGAAAGUUCUAAAAGAGCUUAACUUCUUUAAUUUUAACUCUAAAUAAUUAUAAUUUAAUUAGAAAUAAAAACUGAUGAUUCAUGAGUAAAAUUUAA